AGUGAACGCUGGCGGUAGGCUUAACACAUGCAAGUCGAACGGCAGCACAGUAAGAGCUUGCUCUUACGGGUGGCGAGUGGCGGACGGGUGAGGAAUACAUCGGAAUCUACUUUUUCGUGGGGGAUAACGUAGGGAAACUUACGCUAAUACCGCAUACGACCUACGGGUGAAAGCAGUGGAUCUUCGGACCUUGCGCGAUUGAAUGAGCCGAUGUCGGAUUAGCUAGUUGGCGGGGUAAAGGCCCACCAAGGCGACGAUCCGUAGCUGGUCUGAGAGGAUGGUCGGCCACACUGGAACUGGAACACGGUCCAGGCUCCUACGGGAGGCAGCAGUGGGGAAUAUUGGACAAUGGGCGCAAGCCUGAUCCAGCCAUACCGCGUGGGUGAAGAAGGCCUUCGGGUUGUAAAGCCCUUUUGUUGGGAAAGAAAAGCAGCAGGUUAAUACCCCGCUGUUCUGACGGUACCCAAAGAAUAAGCACCGGCUAACUUCGUG
RNAcentral lists this ribosomal RNA (492 nucleotides) under uncultured bacterium. RNAcentral's name for it is "partial 16S ribosomal RNA". It matches the Rfam family "Bacterial small subunit ribosomal RNA", at positions 29 to 507 of the family's 1533-position model. The record is from RNAcentral.